Molecule: ribosomal RNA, 253 nt
Filed under: uncultured bacterium
Lineage: Bacteria
Description: partial 16S ribosomal RNA
Rfam family: Bacterial small subunit ribosomal RNA
Source: RNAcentral
UACGGGGGGAGCAAGCGUUGUUCGGAUUUACUGGGCGUAAAGGGCGCGUAGGCGGCGUGACAAGUCACUUGUGAAAUCUCCGGGCUUAACCCGGAACGGUCAAGUGAUACUGUCGUGCUAGAGUACAGAAGGGGCAACUGGAAUUCUCGGUGUAGCGGUGAGAUGCGUAGAUAUCGAGAGGAACACCUGCGGCGAAGGCGGGUUGCUGGGCUGACACUGACGCUGAGGCGCGAAAGCUAGGGGAGCGAACGGG